GAGUAAAGUUGUGGCUUACAUAAUGCUUCCACAUGCACCAUUCUACUUAUUAGACAACCCUGUGAAGUGGAUUCAAAUACUCUCAUUUUAUAGAUAAGAACAAUUUAGAUCUAGAAAUAGUAAGGAACUUAAAUCCAAUUUACACAACAAUGUUUUCUUGUUUCCCUGUUCUUGUUACUACCCUUCUGUACUUCAUCUUAAUAUAGAAUGGCCAGGAGAUAAGUGAAGCUAUAGAACUGACUGGGUGAUUCCAGAAAUUGGAGCUAUAGAGUCCCAUAGUAACUUAUGAAUUGUCCUACAGUGCAGUCCUACAGCUCCGUUAUGAUAAUCCUCCAGAUGAAGCUAUGUUCAAGACUGGACUAGAUCUUGUGCUAUAAAGCCACACUGGAACCAUCUCCAAUUCCCCACCUUGCUUCAGUUUUAUAUUCUUGCAGAUAGCCUCUUUGAAUCCAUCAGGAGCUACCUUCUUUCACAACUACACUCAAAGAAAGAAAUAAUAAAAUCUGGCUUACCUGUUCAGAAGUUGCCAACCCCUGCCAGAAGAAAAAAUAAAAAUAAAAAUAAAAAACAAUUGGAGGAAAUGGCAGUUUGAUGGGAAAUGCUAGUUUAUAGGACCCGAGACCAACAGGAGACAGAUCCAAAACUGACAGAAAGCACUUUGGAUAAUCGAGAGAUCCUUGAGUUUGAACUAGAUGCAGUGACUGGAUGGACCUUCAGGCCAGAUUUCAAGGAUCUAAUGCAAGACUCUAAUGCCCUAAGGAGUUAAUUUUCAAAUAUCCACAACAAACUAUUACAUGAGUAGGAAAUAAAAUUUAAUUUUGUAAAGCUAGUGAUAUUUUGAAGUUGUUGGUUCUAGGACUUAGUCUAUUCGUAUAAUACACAAAAUUUACCAAAAUACAUUAGCCCAGAAUUAUCUCAUGUAUACCUGAAAUCUAAAACUAUGUAAUUUGAGUUUAUUUGUCCUUUGUCUAUUAGCGAUGAUAUUUUCAGAUGUAUACUCUUUAACCCAAUAAAUAUAAGUCCCAUGAGGACAUUUCCUUCCGCAAUAUACUCUGGAUACUGUCUCUUCUCGUACUUUGCCAGACAGCUUUCUCCAUAAUCUGUUCUCUCUCCUAUUAAUCUCUCCAUUGCACUAGCCCCUUCCUAUUAUCAUUUAAACAUUUUUAUGUCUCCAUCAUGAAAUAAAAUUUCUCCCUUUAUUACAUUUUACCUCACAGAAACAACUACAAUGCAAUUUUUUUCACACAUUCAUAGCCAAACAUAUUCAAAGUGUUGUCCAUUCAUUCUGCACCCACAUCUUUACUAUCUGCUUGUCAAUGUAUUCCAUUCUGGCUUAUAAUUCCACAAUUCAAGCAAAAAUGACUUUUGAUAAAGUCAGAAAUGACCUUUAUCUUGCUAAAUACGAUGGACUUUUGUUCUAAGUAACCUCAAUUUCUUUCAUUUAAUGUUUCUUGUUGGAGUCCUUUUGAAGCACAUUUUCAAAAUAAUUCAAGUAAGUCCAAUUUAUCCAUUUUUCUUUCAUUACUUGUACUCUGUUGUCAUGUUGAGGAACUAUUGCCUAAUCCAAGGUCACAAAGAUUUGCUCCUCUGUUUCUAACAGUUUUAUAGUUUUAGUUCUUGCAUUAAAGUGUGCAAUUCAUUUUGAGUUAGUAUUUGUAUAUGCUGUGGGAUAAAGCUUCAACUUUAUUUUUUUCUUGUGGCUAUCCAGUUGUCUCAGUACCAUGUAUUGAAAACACAUUUCUCUUCCCAGCAUUAUGUUGUUUUGAAAACUUUGUCAAAGACAACUAUCAUAAAUGUAAAUGUUUAUUUUGGGGCUGUCAAUUCGAUUUCACUGACCUGUAUGUAUUUCCUUAAAAUAGCAUUACAGUCUCUUUCUUGAUUACUAAAGUUUUGCAGUAAAUUUUCAAAUCAGAUUAUGUAGAGUCCUAUAACUUUGUUCUGUUUUAAAAAAGAUUAUUUUGGCUAUUCUUGGUUUUUUUCCUCAUAAAUUUUAGAAUCAACUUGUCAAUUUCUGCAACUAGGCCCUCUGGAUCUUGAUAGCAAUCAUGUUGAAUCUGUAGAUCUAUUUGGGGAAUAUUGCCAUUUAACCAAUACUAAGUCUUCUAAUCUGGAAUAUCUUUUUAUUUAUUUAAGUCUUUGUUUUCUUUCAAUAAUGGUUUAUAGCUUUUACUGUAUAAGUUAUGAACUUUUUUGUUAAAAUUUCCCUAAAUAGUUUAUUCUUUUUGAUGCUAUUGAAGAUAAAAUUUUAUAAUUUCAUUUUUAGGUAGUUAAUUGCUAGUGUAUAGGAAUAUAAUUUAUUUUUGUAUAUCAAUCUUAUAUAUUAUAGCCUUGAUGAAUUCAUUUAUUAAUUCUAAUUGUCUUUCAGUGGAUUAUUUAGAAUUUUCUACGUACAAGAUUGCAUCAUCCGAAAGUAGAAAUAGAUUUACAACUUUAUUUUAGUCUAGUUAACUUUUUUUAUUGCCUAAUUAUCCUCACGAGAACGUUCAGUAUAGCUAUGUUAUGGGAAACAGCAUUCAUUUUUUCACCAGGAAGUGUGAUGUAAACUGUAGGAUUUUUAUAAAUGUUCGUUAUCAAGUUAAGGAUGUUUCCUUCUAUUCCUAAUUUGUUGAGGUUUUUUUUUAAACAACAACAACAACAACAACAACAAAAAUUAAAAACUGUUGGAUUUUGUCAAAUGCUUUUUUGUGUCUAUGGUAAUAAUCAUGUUUUUGCUUUUACUAUAUUAAUUCUUUGUGAAAAUUGAUUGAUUUUUAAAGUAUUAAACCAACCAUGUAAUACUGGGAUAAAUCCCAAUUGGUCAUAGUAUGUACAAAUGUUUAGAUGCUGGUGGAUUCGAUAUUUGCAUCUAUAUUUAUAAGGAAUAUUGGUCUGUAAGUUUUUCCUUGUA
RNAcentral lists this long non-coding RNA (2887 nucleotides) under Homo sapiens (human). RNAcentral's name for it is "HSALNT0192851". The record is from RNAcentral. Lineage: Eukaryota; Metazoa; Chordata; Mammalia; Primates; Hominidae.